Molecule: ribosomal RNA, 492 nt
Filed under: uncultured bacterium
Lineage: Bacteria
Description: partial 16S ribosomal RNA
Rfam family: Bacterial small subunit ribosomal RNA
Source: RNAcentral
AGUGAACGCUGGCGGUAGGCCUAACACAUGCAAGUCGAACGGCAGCACAGUAAGAGCUUGCUCUUACGGGUGGCGAGUGGCGGACGGGUGAGGAAUACAUCGGAAUCUACUUUUUCGUGGGGGAUAACGUAGGGAAACUUACGCUAAUACCGCAUACGACCUACGGGUGAAAGCAGGGGAACUUCGGACCUUGCGCGAUUGAAUGAGCCGAUGUCGGAUUAGCUAGUUGGCGGGGUAAAGGCCCACCAAGGCGACGAUCCGUAGCUGGUCUGAGAGGAUGGUCACCCACACUGGAACUGAGACACGGUCCAGACUCCUACGGGAGGCAGCAGUGGGGAAUAUUGGACAAUGGGCGCAAGCCUGAUCCAGCCAUACCGCGUGGGUGAAGAAGGCCUUCGGGUUGUAAAGCCCUUUUGUUGGGAAAGAAAAGCAGCAGGUUAAUACCCCGCUGUUCUGACGGUACCCAAAGAAUAAGCACCGGCUAACUUCGUG